GACGAACGCUGGCGGCGUGCUUAACACAUGCAAGUCGAACGGGAACCUUUAUUUCGGUAAAGGUGAGAGUGGCAAACGGGUGAGUAACACGUAGGCAACCUGCCGACAGGAUGGGGACAACAUUCCGAAAGGAAUGCUAAUACCGAAUGAAGUCACCGGAGGGCAUCCUCUGGUGAUGAAAGAUGGCCUCUGAAUAUGCUAUCACCUGUCGAUGGGCCUGCGUCUGAUUAGCCAGUUGGCGGGGUAACGGCCCACCAAAGCGACGAUCAGUAGCCGGUCUGAGAGGAUGAACGGCCACAUUGGGACUGAGACACGGCCCAGACUCCUACGGGAGGCAGCAGUGGGGAAUCUUCCACAAUGGGCGAAAGCCUGAUGGAGCAACGCCGCGUGAGUGAAGAAGGUCUUCGGAUCGUAAAGCUCUGUUGCACGGGACGAAAACCGAGCUUGAAAACAUUGAGUUUGGGUGACGGUACCGAGCGAGGAAGCCACGGCUAA
RNAcentral lists this ribosomal RNA (495 nucleotides) under Selenomonas sputigena. Its description in RNAcentral is "bacterial SSU rRNA". It matches the Rfam family "Bacterial small subunit ribosomal RNA", at positions 28 to 500 of the family's 1533-position model. Lineage: Bacteria; Bacillati; Bacillota; Negativicutes; Selenomonadales; Selenomonadaceae. The record is from RNAcentral.